UUUAGGAGCACGGGUACUACUUACUGUGGACGACGGUUGGUCAAGGAAGGCUUUCUGGAGGAGGUGACAGCUAGGCUGGGUCUUAAGGAUGAAUGGGAAGAGAGAGGAGAACAUGUGGAUAAGGCCAGGCAGAAGGGCUGCACAGCCAAGUCACAGCCAAGACGAAAUGCAGGGAGAGUUCUGGAAGCUGUGUGUUUCAUGCUGCUGGGUAGUGUGGAAGGACAGGUUGGAGGUAGGUAGCUAAGCAGCUUGGCAAAUGGAGCUACUGAGGAUUCCAAACAGGACCUCUGCAGUCGUCUCCACUGCUUAUGGGUUGAAUCACGUGAAAAAGACAAUAUUCGGCCAUUUAGGGCCAAGACAAAUGUCAGCUCUGCGGGGUGCAGCCUCACAGAGAGGCUGCUUGGGGGCCUUUGCAGAGGGUGGAUGAGCAGAGGGCAUCCUCCGGAAGCUGCCUGGGGACCCGGCUCUGAGGCCGUCGGGCCGGUGGUGUCCAGAUUCUCCUGUAGGCUGGGAGAAGGGGGAGGUUCAAGAAACAUGGAGGAGGUGAAGCGUCAGAGCCGGGGGGAUGGGGUGCCGCAGAGGAGAAGGAGCACUGAGGCUGAGGUCCAGGCUUGCAGACACGUGGAGCAUGAGUGUCCUGCCAGGUCUGUGGGUGUCUCUUCUGAGCUACACCAGUUUCCAGGUUACCUGGGACCAUGGAUAACUCUCAGAUCAGCAACUUGUCAGUUGAUUUCCAAGCUGCUGUUGGCUGGACUCAGACUCAGCAGGGAGCACCUGGGCAAGCCCUGUGCUGCGGGCUGGACUCCGGCCCGUCUCGCUGAUUACUCUUGCUUUUGCUCCCCAGUGUGUCCUCAAGAGGUCAGAGCCUGCUUGUUGUUUCUUCAUGACCACAGGAGGAGGGGCACCAACAUGAGGGUGCUAGCAUCUCCCCAGUGGUGGCUUCCCAGGGCUGGGGAAACCCUGGGGGAGGGGUUGGGACAGGGACCUCUGCUGCCACUGCCUGGGUCAACUGCCUGGCAGGGCUGGCCGCUCGUGCUCAGAAGGCUGAGUCCUUACCUGCCUUCUCCUCUCACCCAGUGCCCAUGCAAGGACACAUCUGAGUUGGCAUUCUGUGUCCGCUCUUGAGCUACUCGCAUGAUAAGUCUUUGUUGUCCUGUGGGAUGUCACCGGUUCAUGCUGAAGAGAAAUUGUAAAGGACUCCUUUGCCUGCUCAGGCCCCAUGGCCUCUGUCAUGUUUUGUCCCCAUCCCUUUGGGAGCACAGCAGCAGUGGGCUGGCUGGACUGUGCAGGCGAGGUUCAGGGAUGAGGUACAGUUGUGUGAAAGGUGAGCCUGCUGGACCGGGGAGCUUUCCUCAAGGCCUCCGCCUGGCUAUGAUGGCGUUAGGGUUGAGGGGAAGCUUCAUCCAAAAUGCACAGUACUUGGAUGUCAAGAUGAUGUUGCUGCUCUCAGGAUGAGUCACUCUCCACCACUGACUUCCUUUGAUGUUCUGAGCUCAGCCUGGAGUCUGACCUGGGACUAUAGCACUUGUUCUCCCAAGGGAAGGCUGGCGGCCAAACCCAGCUGCGCACACCUGAACCUGCUCCUUGGCAGAGAUGAAGGGCGUGAUGUUUCAUAGCCACUCAACACCCAUGGACAAUUUGGCUCCUUGUAAAGACUUAGUCAUGCCUUUGAACUGACUUACUUGAAAUAUAAUUGCUCCUAUUUUGCUCCAAAGACUGGUGGCAUGAUGGGUUAGAGUUAUUUGUAUUUAUUGAGAUUGUUGUAAUUAGCAAUCUCAGGGCUCAGUCUAACUGCAUUAUCCAUGCUGGAAAACUUAAAAAAAAAUACAGUCCUUCAUCUUCAGUUUUCCAAUGGUCGCCAGUUAUACACAGCUAAUCUUUGCAGUGAAAGUUGUCUUUGGAGAAUGUGCUUUCUUGGUCCCGGGUGGUUCUGGUCUUGGGCUGGGAUCUACGUGAGCUGCUUUGAAGUAAGCUGACAACACACAAUUAUUAAGGCUAUUUUGACCUGCAAGUAUGGUUUCUUAAAAAGGAACAAUUAAAUACCAUGUAGCAGUUAUUUAGACUUUAGCAUUGACUAAGGAAAGGAGAAAAUGGAAGAAGAACUCCCUCCUGCUUAGAUGCAGUCAUUUUUUUAAAAAAUAAUCUUUUGGGGAAUAAACUUAACCAAGGAGGUGAGGGACUUGUAAACAAAAUGUUAAAACUGCACUGAAGACUAGAAAAUGUUGAUGAAAGCUGUUAAAGAAGACACAAUUAGAUGAUGAAAACACAUCCCAUGUUCAUGGAUUGAAAGACAAUAUUGUUAAGAUGUCAAUACUAUAGAUUCUAUGCAAUCCCUGUCAAAACCCCAUUUUUUUUCAAACAUAGGAAAAUCCAUUCUAAAAUUUAUAUGGACUCUCAAGGAACCCUGAGUAGACAAAACAAUCUUGUAAAAGAACAAUGUUGGAGGUCUCACACUUUCUGGUUUCAAAACUACAGUAAUUAAAAAGCUACAGUAAUUAAAACAGCAUGAUAUUGUCACAAAGAUAUAG
This 2528-nucleotide long non-coding RNA is filed under the name Pan troglodytes (chimpanzee). RNAcentral's name for it is "lincRNA". Lineage: Eukaryota; Metazoa; Chordata; Mammalia; Primates; Hominidae. The record is from RNAcentral.